UACGGGGGGGGCAAGCGUUGUUCGGAAUUACUGGGCGUAAAGGGCGCGUAGGCGGCCUGCUAAGUCGGACGUGAAAUCCCCCGGCUCAACCGGGGAACUGCGUCCGAUACUGGUGGGCUCGAAUCCGGGAGAGGGAUGUGGAAUUCCAGGUGUAGCGGUGAAAUGCGUAGAUAUCUGGAGGAACACCGGUGGCGAAGGCGGCAUCCUGGACCGGCAUUGACGCUGAGGCGCGAAAGCCAGGGGAGCAAACAGG
This 253-nucleotide ribosomal RNA is filed under the name uncultured bacterium. RNAcentral's name for it is "partial 16S ribosomal RNA". It matches the Rfam family "Bacterial small subunit ribosomal RNA", at positions 524 to 776 of the family's 1533-position model. The record is from RNAcentral.